GUCCCUGUAGCGCAAUGGAUAGCGCGUUGGAUUUCUAAUCCAAUGCGAUUCUCACCUGGGAUG
RNAcentral lists this transfer RNA (63 nucleotides) under Trichonephila clavata. It matches the Rfam family "tRNA". From Rfam's summary of the family: Transfer RNA (tRNA) molecules are approximately 80 nucleotides in length. Their secondary structure includes four short double-helical elements and three loops (D, anti-codon, and T loops). The record is from Rfam by way of RNAcentral. Lineage: Eukaryota; Metazoa; Arthropoda; Arachnida; Araneae; Nephilidae.